Molecule: ribosomal RNA, 497 nt
Filed under: uncultured bacterium
Lineage: Bacteria
Description: partial 16S ribosomal RNA
Rfam family: Bacterial small subunit ribosomal RNA
Source: RNAcentral
GAUGAACGCUGGCGGCGUGCUUAAUACAUGCAAGUCGAGCGAACGGACGAGAAUCUUGCUUCACUGACGUUAGCGGCGGACGGGUGAGUAACACGUGGAUAACCUACCUAUAAGACUGGGAUAACUUCGGGAAACCGGCGCUAAUACCGUAUAAUAUUUUGAACCGUAUGGUUCAAAAGUGAAAGACGGUCUUGCUGUCACUUAUAGAUGGAUCUGCGCUGCAUUAGCUAGUUGGUAAGGUAACGGCUUACGAAGGCAACGAUGCAUAGCCGACCUGAGAGGGUGAUCGGCCACCCUGGAACUGAGCCACGGUCCGGACUCCUACGGGAGGCAGCAGUAGGGAAUGUUCCGCAGUGGGCGAAAGCCUGGCGGAACAACGCCGCGUGUGUUAUGAAGGUCUUCGGAUCGUAAAACUCUGCUUUUAGGGAAGAACAUAUGUGUAAGUAACUGUGCACAUCUUGACGGUACCUAAUCAAAAAGCCACGGCUAACUACGUG